CUUUGUCUUAAUUUAAUGGGUUCUGAUGAAUAGCACCCAUCAGACGUAAGGGGGAAAGUUCGGUGUAAAUCCGGCGCUGUCCCGCAGCUGUAAUCUCUUAUUGAGUAAGUCAGAAUGCCCGCCUAUUAGUUAUUUUUGUG
RNAcentral lists this non-coding RNA (140 nucleotides) under Tolypothrix sp. Lineage: Bacteria; Bacillati; Cyanobacteriota; Cyanophyceae; Nostocales; Tolypothrichaceae. The record is from RNAcentral.